AAUGAGGCUAGAGUUACGCUUGGGUAUUGGUUAUUACCUUAGUGUGCUAGAAUCCUUGAAGAGUAACUUUGCUGAUCUUAUUUGCUAGCUGUGGCCCUGAUGGCACAGUCACUCAGCAGGUUAGUGACAUGG
Small nucleolar RNA from Nycticebus coucang (slow loris), 132 nucleotides. RefSeq annotates it as small nucleolar RNA SNORA3/SNORA45 family. Lineage: Eukaryota; Metazoa; Chordata; Mammalia; Primates; Lorisidae. The transcript has a single exon. The record is from RefSeq and is a predicted model, not a curated record.